RNAcentral lists this long non-coding RNA (1531 nucleotides) under Apteryx owenii (little spotted kiwi). Its description in RNAcentral is "lncRNA (ENSAOWG00000008865.1)". Lineage: Eukaryota; Metazoa; Chordata; Aves; Apterygiformes; Apterygidae. The record is from RNAcentral.
GGGUGAAGCAGCGGGGAUCGGACCUGCGUAGGGAUGCCGGGAUGGAGCAUGACCGCGCGUCCUCCGUGGAGCUAUGGCCUCUUCUCGGUAAAAUGCCCUGUAGAUGUCACCAAAUCUCCGUGCACGAACCCGCGCUUGCGUCCUGUUUAUCCCUGGCAGCUGGACCACUGCGGAUGCUGCCCCGGUCCGGCUGAAAUGAUGCUGCGAUCGGGCCCCGAUUCCUGGGCCGAGCUGGUGGUACCGGUGGCAUGGACAUCGAUGCUGAUGGAGAGCAGUUCCAGCCCUUGUGGGGAGCCAGGACCCGCUUCUUGGCCCUGCCCGGGGCCUCUCGUCCCUGCACGUGGCUUUGGGGACCAUCCCUGCAGUGGGACAAAUCCAGGAGAGCCGGGAACGGAAACGGCGGAGCUGCUCACGGGGCUGCUCCUUCGCCUGCUGCAGGACUGGAUGCUCCUUUCCGUGAACGAUCCGACACCUUCGGCAGCUCCCACAGGAGUGUUUGGAGGCAAAGGGUGUCCCAGGCUUUGUGGGUAGCUCAGCAAAGACAUUGCUGUCACGGCUUUCUUGUUAACUCCUUUCUAUGAACAUGAUCCCACCACACCGGCCCAACUUCUGAGAAGCUUGGAUGUAAAUUUUGGCUGGAGGUCGAGCGAAAAAGAACUGGAGCUGGGACAGAAGGGGAGAGCAAAGUGGGAGUGAUUAGUAUUUUAAAACUGCUCCACUGCCUGGCUCUUGGGUUUACCAAGAUACCUCGGGAGCUAUUUGAGCUACUGUCAGUUGAUGCGAUGUCCCGUGUCAGCAUGAGGUCACAGCGUCAUUCCACAUGGGUUCAUGUCCUGGGGGCUUCUGGCUCCAUCUCUGCUCCAGUGUCUUGGAGAUCACCUUUUAACACGGAUAGUGAAUGUCUUUGCAGGCUAAAAGGAGUUGACCGAGAUCGUCACAUCCUGCAUCAGGAAGUUCCACAGGCGAUGGGGAAAAAAGAAAUUAAACCAGAGCCUUUCUACCUUCACAGCUGGCCAGAUACGAUCAUCAGGACAGCCUCGUGUAGCCGCUGCUAUAGCGAAGCUCUUGACCGCAAAGUCAAACAGUAGCUGCUUUCUAAAUGGCAUGUUCUUCCAGUUGUGGCUCUUGUCACUUGGGCAUGUAAACAUUUUUCACUCCUUGCCACCCCCUGGCAGCCUGGCUUUGCGAGGAAGCCAGAGUAAAUUUUGCUCAUGUGUGGUCCCGUAUGCUCCGAUUGCUUUGAUUUGGCUGUAAUUGUCGUGAUUCACUCUAACAAAACAAAGUCCCCUGUUAGUGAUUGCUACCUUGUUUUUGAAACUGGAAAUCAGGCCACCACCUAGUGUGCUUAUUAUAUGGCAUGGAAAAUGGAGAUGUUUUCGAGUAAUCUGGCAAGGAUCCUGAUGAGCUGUUAAGAGUCCUCCAGAAAGAACAGAAGAGGAAUUUCCAUGUGCAAAUGGCCCAUUUUCAUGCUGACUUUUCAUUUCUAUUUGUGGCCAGCACUAGGUGUUGCUAAUCGAAAGCCAGAAUUGGA